CCUUAGUCAAACAGCUUCUUCAUCGGGAUGUGAGCGAAACUGGAGUGUCUUUGAACGUAUUCAUACCAAAAAAAGAAACAAGCUAGAGCAUCAAAGACUCAAUGAUCUUGUAUAUGUUCACUACAACUUGCGUUUACAAAACAGGUAUGGGACAAGAAGAUCAUAUGAUCCCGUUGAUUAUGAGUCAAUUGAUAAAACUGAGUUUUGGAUUGUGGAAGAAGAAGGAGAAGGAGAACUUGAUUUUUCUGAAUUAGAAGAUAAACUUCUUGAAGAAUAUCCUAAAGAUGGCGAAGAACUCAAUCAUGGUGAUGCAGAUUAGAGUGAUAAAGACUUGGAG
Molecule: long non-coding RNA, 337 nt
Organism: Brassica oleracea var. oleracea
Lineage: Eukaryota; Viridiplantae; Streptophyta; Magnoliopsida; Brassicales; Brassicaceae
Exons: 3
Source: RefSeq, a predicted model, not a curated record